Long non-coding RNA from Chinchilla lanigera (long-tailed chinchilla), 3253 nucleotides. Ensembl annotates it as ankyrin repeat and LEM domain containing 1. NCBI's taxonomy places the organism in Eukaryota, Metazoa, Chordata, Mammalia, Rodentia, Chinchillidae. The record is from Ensembl.
UCCGGCCGCUGGACCUCGCGGAGCAGCAGGGACACGGGGACUGUGCGCGCGUCCUGCGGGACCUGCGCCCGCCGGGCUGCCCAGCGUGGAGGACGGCGACGGUGACCGCGGGGGCCUGCGGUGAGGGGACUGCGGGGCGGUGCGCGCCCGCUGCCUGUGCCGGCUGGGGCGCUGAGACUCCGAUCAGUCUGUUUUUUCCUAUUCUUCCUUCCUCUUUCCUUCCUUUAUACUGGGGAUGAGUCCAAGCGCCCGCUCCCUGAGCUGUAUCCCCAGCCCCCUUUUCAUUUUGAAACAGUUAAUUAUCAAUUAAUUAUCACUAAUUACCUAAGUUGUACGGGCAGGUCUUGAACUUAGGAUCCUCCUGCCUCAGCCUCCCACCUGCUGGGGCUACAGACCUGCACCAGUAAGCCUGCUGGGACGGCCUUGGAACCCGUGCCCGCUCCCUUGCUGCCUCUCCCCUUGCCACAGCAGCCUCAAUGUCCGACCUGAUUGUGCAUCUGUGCCCCCCCAUCUUCAGGAGCGGGCCUCACGGCCGCGGAGGUGACCCUUGAGCCUGCCGCACGGCCAGCCGGGCCUGAGCGUGGGGACAUGGGCCUGGGCCCCAGCCGGCGGGUUGCCAGCCCCACCGGGCCCCUGGAGGCUGCGGAUGAAGAGGGAGGCUCAGAGUCCCCGCGCCAGGACUGGGACAGCAGCUCCGACGACGACGAUGAAGUUCCCUUUGUCACUGCGGUGGAAGCUUCUGACUCGGAGGACACAGCCCUGGAGAGGAAUUCUGUCGGGGGCCCAUCACUGCCUCAGGCAGAACAGGGACCCAUGCGGGUGGCCCUGAGGCCUACAGGCCAGCCAGGGCCAUCAGGCAAGGAGGCUGAGCUCGGCGCCCGGCUGUGGGCCAUGACUCUGUCCCCGUCCUGGGCUACCUUCUUCCCUCCCCUCGUGGACCCAAGCACAGCCCACAGCAACCCCCAGAAGCCUGGCCUCUGCCCCCAGGCAGAUGAGCAGCGGCCCUUUGGCGGUGACAUGGCUGCCCUUUGGCUGACAGAGGACGAGGCCAGCGCCGCAGAGGACAGGGAACAUGUCCCCACUUGCAAGCUCCCGCCGGUGCCCACCGCUCCUGGCCUACAGCUGCGGCACAGGCUCCCGGCGCCUGGGCACCGUCGCUGCCCCACUGUUCCCUUCAGCCAGCCGCCCUGUGGCCCCCAACGGCAGGGAGAGGGCUGGGCCACGCCCGACUUUGCAAAGUACAGCCCAGAACUCGCCGAGGCCCUGCGGACGGGCUGCAUCCCGGACUCCCAGGCGGACGAGGACGCGCUGGCCCAGCAGUUCGAGCGGCCGGAUCCCUCGGAGAGGUGGCGGGAGGGCGUUGCCAAGUCCAGCUUCACGUAUCUGCUGCUGGACCCCAGGGAGACUCAGGACCUGCCCGCCCGAGCCUCCUCGCUGACCCCGGCCCAGUGUCUUCAGACCUUCGUCCACGCCAUCUUCUACGUGGGCAAGGGGACACGCACCCGGCCAGACGUCCACCUCUGGGAGGCCCUUGGCUACCGUGGGCGGCCAGGAAGACAGGCCUGCCCCAAGGUGCGCCGCAUCCUGGACAUCUGGGACAGUGGCCAUGGCGUGGUCUCCCUGCACUGCUUCCAGCAUGUGGUGGCUGUGGAGGCUUACACGCGGGAGGCCUGCCUUGUGGACGCCCUAGGAGUCCAGACGCUGACCAACCAGAAGCAAGGGCACUACUAUGGCGUGGUGGUGAACUGGCCCGCAGCUCGGCGGCGGCGCUUGGGGGUGCACCUGCUGCACCGUGCGCUGCUCAUCUUCCUGGCCGAGGGUGAGCGGGAGCUGCGGCCUGAGGACAUCCAGGCGCGAGGCUGAGCGCUGGAGUGGCCGUCCAGCCUGGACAGAUGUCAUGGUGUCUGCUCUCCCUGUGCUGAGAGCAAACCCCUCAGUGGCUGCAGAUGGCAGGCUCCAUGUACGUGUGUGUGUGUGUGUGUGUGUGUGUGUGUGCGCAUGUGUGUCAGCAGCCCCUGGGUAGAUCCCUUUCUGUCUCAGGGAGGCUCUGUGAACACAGUAACUGCUGGAGAGGGAGUGAACUCCCCAUCAUGGGAGGAAACCAAGGGGCAAACCAAAAGGUGCUUCGGAAUACUUUGGUGCUUUGGCAGUCUUUGGGGGUUGUCUUUCUUUUUCUGAGAUUGGGUCUUCCUAUGUACCCCAGGCUGGCCUUGAACUCACUUCGGCCCUCCUGCCUCAGCCUCUUGAGUAGUGGUAUUAUGGACCUACACCUCCAUGCCUGGCUUUUUGUGGACUGUUGUAGUCACCUUCCCCUGCUGGGACCAAAUACUUGGCACCCACAGCUAGAAGGAAGAGAGGUCUAUUUCGAUUCACGGGUUCAGUCCACGGCCAGCUGGCUCCAAGGCCGAAGCAGCACGGUGGGCGGGCCUGGCGGAGGACACUGCUCACCUCGCGGUGGUCAGGAGUCAGGAAGAGAGGGGAGGAGCCGGGGACAAGGAUGUGCCUUCCCGGUCACAUCCCAGUGGCCGCCUCCAGCCAGGCCCCGCCUCCUACAGCACUGUCAGCUGUGGACUCAUCCCUGGAGGAGCAGGGAGAUGAGCACUGCGCCCCACCAUCCCAUCCCCUGCCACACAGGCUUCUGGAGGACAGCUUAGCUCAUACCCGCAAUAUGGUCCGAGUCCCCUUUUUUUUUGAGGCUCUGAGCUAUGUAGCUCAGGCUGCCCUUGAUUCUCCUGCCUCAGCCUCCAAGCACUGGGAUUAUAGGAUUAUACUAACAUACCUGGCUCCAUCCACUUUUAUGUCCCAGACACAGGGUACCCACAGAUGGGCUGGCCAGGGUUUCUUUUGCUCCCCAUGGGGGGGCUCUGCCCUUCUCAGAGCCAGGCUCACUCCCUCGGGCUGAGGGGCCCUGCGCUAGUACUGUGUCUGCCUGGGCCUCAGUAUGUGCCACGGAUGGAGCUUCCUCCUGCUGGGAAUUCCCACAGGCAGCUGCAGGGGACUGGCUGGGCUCUGCACAGCGCUGCAGUAGUGGUGCAGGCCUGCUCUCUCGGCCCUGGGAGGCUGAGGCAGGAGGUUUGGGCAACCUAGUGACUUAGUGACAGCUUGUCUCAAAAUAAAAGAAUACAAAAAGGGCUGGGGACAUGGCUUAGUGCUGAGGGGUUGGUUUAGAUCUGUAGUACCAAGAAAAAAGAAGGGAGGAAGGACAGCUCGGGGAGUGGGCCGGGGCUGCACCACUUAGCACCAACUGGAGAAC